GGCUGGUCCAAGUGCAGUGGUAUUUACAAUUAAUUGAUCACAGCCAGUUACAGAUUUCUUUGUUCCUUCUCCACUUCCACUGCCUCACUUGACUAGCCUUUA
Molecule: Y RNA, 102 nt
Organism: Equus asinus (donkey)
Lineage: Eukaryota; Metazoa; Chordata; Mammalia; Perissodactyla; Equidae
Rfam family: Y RNA
About the family: Y RNAs are components of the Ro ribonucleoprotein particle (Ro RNP), in association with Ro60 and La proteins. The Y RNAs and Ro60 and La proteins are well conserved, but the function of the Ro RNP is not known. In humans the RNA component can be one of four small RNAs -- hY1, hY3, hY4 and hY5.
Source: Ensembl